This 474-nucleotide ribosomal RNA is filed under the name uncultured bacterium. RNAcentral's name for it is "bacterial SSU rRNA". It matches the Rfam family "Bacterial small subunit ribosomal RNA", at positions 29 to 523 of the family's 1533-position model. The record is from RNAcentral.
AACGAACGCUGGCGGCAUGCCUAACACAUGCAAGUCGAACGAGACCUUCGGGUCUAGUGGCGCACGGGUGCGUAACGCGUGGGAAUCUGCCCUUGGGUUCGGAAUAACAGCGAGAAAUUGCUGCUAAUACCGGAUGAUGACGUAAGUCCAAAGAUUUAUCGCCCAAGGAUGAGCCCGCGUAGGAUUAGCUAGUUGGUGAGGUAAAGGCUCACCAAGGCGACGAUGCUUAGCCGAGCUGAGAGGUUGAUCGGCCACACUGGGACUGAGACACGGCCCAGACACCUACGGGUGGCAGCAGUAGGGAAUAUUGGACAAUGGGCGAAAGCCUGAUCCAGCCAUGCCGCGUGAGUGACGAAGGUCUUCGGAUUGUAAAACUCUUUUAUGAGGGAAGAACCGCCUGGGGAGGAAAUGCCCUGGGUCUGACGGUACCUCAGGAAUAAGGGACGGCUAACUCCGUGCCAGCAGCCGCGGUAU